Molecule: non-coding RNA, 706 nt
Organism: Cinara cedri
Lineage: Eukaryota; Metazoa; Arthropoda; Insecta; Hemiptera; Aphididae
Source: the annotation of a GenBank genome assembly
AGAGUCAAAUAGAUAAGAAUCGAAUCAUGGACGCGUUUAUAUUCCUACUCGACUAAAUAACCUAAUAUUAUGUUCUUAUAAACUUAUUCAUGUAGUGUGCUAUGACAGCAGCGUAACACCGCCGGUAUGAGAUUAUAUUUUCCGUUUUUUAUUUCUUGCCAUCACAUGUUUACAAAAUUUGUUCUCACAGUUUUGGAAAUAACCAAUCGAAAAAUCCUAUUGUUGUAGUAUUCGACAAACGCGCAUUCAGGGUAACUUACGCGAACCGUGAAACACAUUAUUUACCAGAUGUGUAGGGUGGAAAAAAAUAUAAUCUAAAAGAAAAAUGUAUUAUAUUAUUACAUUAUUACUGUAGGUACCUACAGGUAUGCUGCAGUCGAUGUACACCCUCUUUCGUGAUCCCUCCAGGCAGACAUAUGUAUACGGAAAAAUAAUAAAAUACCACCGUCUAUGCACCUGUCCUUUUUUUUUCUUUCCUAAAGGACAAUAAUAAGACGUUUUUAUGAACGUCGUAGUAUGUACGAUGUACCGCCAGUCAUUUUUUCCCGUCCAAAUCUGUAUACUAUUUAUUUUUUUUUUCUCGAGAUUUUAAGAUGAUUGAGAUUUCGGCGUUUGGUCGUACCUAUAUAAUUAUGCCUUUUUUCCCCUUUGAGUGACACGACCGAUGGGAGUGAUUGGUUAAAGGAUGAUGUAUAUUUCCAUUUUG